GACGAACGCUGGCGGCGUGCUUAACACAUGCAAGUCGAACGGGGUGCUGGUUGGUGGCAACACCUUCCAGUACCUAGUGGCGAACGGGUGAGGAACACGUGAGCAACCCACCCCGGACUCUGGGAUAACAGCGGGAAACCGCUGCUAAUACCGGAUACCUUCCUCUGGUCGCAUGGCCAGGCGAAGAAAGGUUUACUGGUCCGGGACGGGCUCGCGGCCUAUCAGCUAGUUGGUGGGGUAACGGCCUACCAAGGCGUCGACGGGUAGCCGGUCUGAGAGGAUGAUCAGCCACACUGGGACUGAGACACGGCCCAGACUCCUACGGGAGGCAGCAGUGGGGAAUCUCGCGCAAUGGGCGAAAGCCUGACGCAGCAACGCCGCGUGCGGGAUGACGGCCCUCGGGUUGUAAACCGCUUUCAGCAGGAACGAAUCUGACGGUACCUGCAGAAGAAGGUCCGGCCAACUACGUGCCAGCAGCCGCGGUAACACGUAGGGACCAAGCGUUGUCCGGAUUUAUUGGGCGUAAAGAGCUCGUAGGCGGUUCGGUAAGUCGGGUGUGAAAACUCUGGGCUCAACUCAGAGAGGCCACCCGAUACUGCCGUGACUUGAGUCCGGUAGGGGAGCACGGAAUUCCUGGUGUA
RNAcentral lists this ribosomal RNA (641 nucleotides) under uncultured Acidimicrobiia bacterium. Its description in RNAcentral is "bacterial SSU rRNA". It matches the Rfam family "Bacterial small subunit ribosomal RNA", at positions 28 to 677 of the family's 1533-position model. The record is from RNAcentral. Lineage: Bacteria; Bacillati; Actinomycetota; Acidimicrobiia.